This 429-nucleotide ribosomal RNA is filed under the name Bacillota bacterium. Its description in RNAcentral is "Firmicutes bacterium partial 16S ribosomal RNA". It matches the Rfam family "Bacterial small subunit ribosomal RNA", at positions 355 to 776 of the family's 1533-position model. Lineage: Bacteria; Bacillati; Bacillota. The record is from RNAcentral.
UAGGGAAUCUUCCGCAAUGGACGAAAGUCUGACGGAGCAACGCCGCGUGAGUGAUGAAGGUUUUCGGAUCGUAAAACUCUGUUGUCAGGGAAGAACAAGUACGAUAGUAACUGAUCGUACCUUGACGGUACCUGACCAGAAAGCCACGGCUAACUACGUGCCAGCAGCCGCGGUAAUACGUAGGUGGCAAGCGUUGUCCGGAAUUAUUGGGCGUAAAGCGCUCGCAGGCGGUUCUUUAAGUCUGAUGUGAAAUCUUGCGGCUCAACCGCAAACGUGGAUUGGAAACUGGAGGACUUGAGUGCAGAAGAGGAGAGUGGAAUUCCACGUGUAGCGGUGAAAUGCGUAGAGAUGUGGAGGAACACCAGUGGCGAAGGCGACUCUCUGGUCUGUAACUGACGCUGAGGAGCGAAAGCGUGGGGAGCGAACAGG